UGGGGAAUAUUGCGCAAUGGGGGAAACCCUGACGCAGCAACGCCGCGUGAAUGAUGAAGGCCUUAGGGUUGUAAAGUUCUGUUUUCUGGGACGAUAAUGACGGUACCAGAGGAGGAAGCCACGGCUAACUACGUGCCAGCAGCCGCGGUAAUACGUAGGUGGCGAGCGUUGUCCGGAUUUACUGGGCGUAAAGGAUGCGUAGGCGGAUGCUUAAGUCAGAUGUGAAAUACCCGAGCUUAACUUGGGUGCUGCAUUUGAAACUGGGCAUCUAGAGUGUCGGAGAGGAAAGCGGAAUUCCUAGUGUAGCGGUGAAAUGCGUAGAGAUUAGGAAGAACACCAGUGGCGAAGGCGGCUUUCUGGACGAUAACUGACGCUGAGGCAUGAAAGCGUGGGGAGCAAACAGGAUUAGAUACCCUGGUAGU
RNAcentral lists this ribosomal RNA (422 nucleotides) under uncultured Clostridium sp. RNAcentral describes it as "bacterial SSU rRNA". It matches the Rfam family "Bacterial small subunit ribosomal RNA", at positions 355 to 794 of the family's 1533-position model. Lineage: Bacteria; Bacillati; Bacillota; Clostridia; Eubacteriales; Clostridiaceae. The record is from RNAcentral.